Leopardus geoffroyi (Geoffroy's cat) is the source of this 2129-nucleotide long non-coding RNA. RefSeq lists it as uncharacterized. NCBI's taxonomy places the organism in Eukaryota, Metazoa, Chordata, Mammalia, Carnivora, Felidae. The transcript is spliced from 7 exons. The record is from RefSeq and is a predicted model, not a curated record.
CAUUCCACUUCCAAUAUGGAGACUUUCCAACUACAACCUUUUCCUUAAUUAAAUCUCCCUUAAUAAUUCUUUGACCUUCAUCAUGAGUUCUGAUCCCUUGACUUCACUAAUGUCUCACUACUCAUGAGAUUCACUUUUAUAUUCCUUCUUUCUUACCUUCAUUUUCAUCAUCCAUUACUAUAAUCACUCUCUUGCUCUGUCUCCUCCAAUUGUGUUGGCUUCUUUGUCUCCCUCUAUCUCCCCGUCCGCCACUCACACUCUGUCUCUCUCUCUCAAAUAAACAUUAAAACAAAAUCAAUACCUCAAAGUAACCAAUCAGGUAAUAAGAGAAAAAGGAAUAAUAGAACAUCACCAUUUUGUAAACCCUCAAUGAGAUCAAGAUCAUCAAUAGCUCUAAUGUUACAAAGGAGAGACGCUUGAAGGUUAUGUGCCUCCUGAUGAAAAGACACAGCACCACCUAUGGAGUAUUCUUGAUGAAAACCUGAACCUGAAUCAAAGCAAGCCUUUAUAUCUAACAACCGUUUACAGAAAAUGAAAGGAGAUAGAGGAAAUGGUUAAAUGUCACCAUAGGAAUGCAAUCAGCAAAAUCCUGAAUAGGAAAUUUCUGAAGGACAAAAAUCUCUAUUUCUUCACCAAAAAGGGGUGAUAAAGAAGUGGAGAGGGAAGAUCUGUAGAUUAUAAUAGAUUUAAGAGAGUUGUCCAUCAAGUGUAACAUUAGCUCUUUGAGGAUGGUGCCAUAUAGGCCAUAUGACAUGAUAUAUGACAAUCACAUGACAACCCGACAUCACUAUUAAGUGAUGAUAUCACUAUUAACCUCACAUGCCCACACCCUUGAUUCCACCUCCCCCCUCAAACCUUGUCCCUCCCCAGGCUUGCCCAUGUUUCCCAUCUUCACAAAUGGCCCCACCACCAUCUGGUUGCUCAGGGCUAUGCCAACACUGCCUUUGGAAAUCGUAGAAGGUUUACAGAAAGACAUUGCCCAGGAGUCAGAAAACCUGAGAGUCCCAGUUUUCUCCCUUUUACUGGUUGUUGCUCUUGGGCAAUGCACACGCGCUCUUUGUGCCUGAGCUUCUCACCUACAAUCUGGGAGUUUGGGAGUGGGCUUUUGAGCACUCUUCCCUGCUCUCAAGACUUUAGGCUCCCAAGUGGCCCCUUGCAUAUGGCAGAGCUACACAGGGACAGAAAUCGCUGAAGGAGGGAAGCCAAAUGUCAGGGGAAGGAGACUGGGAUUCAGGACUCAUCUCAUCCAUCAGGAGAAAGGGCCUGAGGAUUGGCCUGUUGUCCUCUAUCCGGACUUGCUUUCACCUCUGGAAAAAAACUUCAGGAAAAGUGACCCCUCCUUCCCACCCAUACCCACUGACCAAAAUUUCCAUCAAAGCCUAGUUUCUGCCCCUCAUGCCAGGAAUCAUACCCAAGUGGAAGCACAGACAUCCCUGGCUACCAUACAGCAAGGAAGGGGCCAACCCAGGAAAGGGGUGAAAGGUGAUGUCAGCUGUCUGAAGUUUCCCAGGGAUGGUGAGAAGUCACAAGACAAAGCCCUUUGAGAAAUAGUCACCAGUCUAUGUUCCCACUGGGCUGUGCCCUGGGAGAGGCACAAGAACCCGCCCCAACGCCUGAGAGAGGGACACUGGAGGCCUAAGACCAACUCCCUGAAGUCUUGACUUCUAGUGAAUCUACAUUGGCUGACUUCCCCGGAUUUAUGAGGAUGCUUCUGGAAUCUUCUGCAAAGCUUCCAGCUUCCUGGCAGAACUCCAUUACUAGAGGGAUGUUGGAAAGCAGGUGUUCUCUCAUGCAGCACCCUGCAAAAUGUGCAUGUGAAUACACAGAAGCACACCUGAAGGAGCUAACACCAAACUGAAAACCAAGGUCACCUCUGGGGAGGUGAGGAGGAGACCAGAAAUGGAGGUCAGCUGGGGGUUCUGAUCCAUGCCAUCAUCAUUCAGGGAUCUAGACCUCAUCAUCUGAAAUGUCAUUGGUCACCAUGGCAGAGAGAAGGAUCACAAUCAAGAUGACAGAAAUAAAAGCUCUUUCCAUCCCACUCUCUUUGACCCAACAGGGAUCAGCGUCUUGAGACUCCACUUCUGAAAAGCUGUAUGUAAUGAUGAGCCAUUAAAGGCUCUUGAAACAUC